This is a long non-coding RNA of Pongo pygmaeus (Bornean orangutan), 3851 nucleotides long. RefSeq lists it as uncharacterized. NCBI's taxonomy places the organism in Eukaryota, Metazoa, Chordata, Mammalia, Primates, Hominidae. The record is from RefSeq and is a predicted model, not a curated record. The transcript has 4 exons.
UGCCCAUUGUAAAAACACUUCCUUCUCUCAGGUCCAAGCCUGAUGCCAUUUACCCUUGCAGCAAACUCAAGAGGUGAGUAUCUGGAAGCCCAUUUCACAGUGGAGUAAACUGAGGUUGGGAGCAGGGAAGUCACGGGCUGAGACACCAGAGGCACUGGAGCCCCACGUCUAGAGCCAGGCUGCCUGCGUGUGAAUCCUGGAUACACAGUGUGUGAGAGCCUGCAAGUGGUUUUUGAAAAUGUGUAUUUAAAAAAAUUUUUUUAAUUUUAUAUUUUAUAAAUAAUAUUUUACUUUUUUUUUUUUUUUUUUUUUUGAGAUGGAGUUUUGCUCUUGUCACCCAGGCUGGAGUGCAAUGGUGCGGUCUUGGGCCACUGCAACCUCUGCCUCCUGGCUUCAAGCGAUUCUCCUGCCUCAGCCUCCUGAGUAGCUGGGAUUACAAGCACACACCACCACGCCCAGCUAAUUUUUAUAUUUUUGGUAGAGACGGGGUUUUGCCAUGUUGGCCUGGCUGAUCUCGAACUCCUGACCUCAGGUGAGCCACCUGCCAGUGUUCCAGAGUGCUGGGAUUACUAUAGGCAUGAGCCACCGCACCUGACCUGUGUGUUGUGUUUUCAUCUUCCGUGUCCUGCAUUCUCACAUACAUUGUACUCAUGCUGUUACUGAAUUGUGUACCAGGCAUCUGUAGCACUUUUCAGAAAUUAUCAUAUACUCAUGACAAGCUUGCAAGAUGCAUGUUAUUAUUAACCCCUCUUACAGCUGAUGGAACUGAGGCCCGGGGGGAUGAUCACAUACAGGAGGUGGUGAAGCCAGGGUUUGGCUACAGGCUUUCUGCCUGCAGAGUUAUAAACCAUAUUCUCCUCCCUACAAACUUAUAUAAGGACAUUAAAAAAUAAUAAUAAAAUCAAAACCAUGUGCAUCAAUUUACCUUUUGUCACCUAAUAUUUCAUGGGCAUCUUGCCAGGGCAGUACAUCUAAUUCUAAUUUAUUCUUUAUAAUAGUUGCACAGUAUGCUAUAGUAUCAGUUCAGCAUUGUAGAUCUUUUAGUUUUUGAAGGUUUUCCAGUAUUUUCCCCACACUAUGCAAAAUAUUUUCAGACAUAUAUCCCUAUGCACUGGUGCAUUUAUAAGUAAAUUAUAAACACAGAGUUAUUAGGUCAAUGAGUAUACAUAUUUAAUUAAUAUUACCAGAUUGUUUUCCCCAAAAAGCUAUUAAUAAUUCAUAUUUUUCACCAGUAAUGUUUUGGAGCCUCCUCACCCCGACCCCAGAAGUGGGUGUUAUCACUUCUUUUUUUUUUUUUUUUUGAGUCAGAGUCUCGCUCUGUCACUCAGGCUGGAGUGCAGUGGCAUGAUCUUGUCUCACUGCAACCUCCACCUCCUGGGUUCAAGCCAUUCUCCUGCCUCAGCCUCCCAAGUAGCUGGGAUUACAGGCGUGUGCCACCACACCCGGCUAAUUUUUGUAUUUGUAGUAGAGAUGGGGUUUCGCCAUGUUGGCCAAGCUGAUCUCGAACUCCGAGCUCAGGUGAUCCACCCACCUCAGCCUCCCAAAGUGCUGGGAUUAUAGGCAUGAGCCACCUUGCCUGGCCAGUGUUAUCACUUCUUAAAUUUAUAAGUAUAAAGUGACAGCUCCUUUGGCAUUUUUAUACCCACUCAGGAGACUGGGUAUUUUUCUGUAUUUGCUGUCUAUAUUUGGGCUUGCUCUUUUGUCAAUUACCUAUUCAUAUCCAUUGCCCAUUAAAAAAAAAUUGGGUUGUUUGCCUUUUUGUUAUUAUUUGCAAAAUGAAUAAAAGAAUCCCAUAAUUGGGAUUAUUGAGUUCUUGGGUGUGUACAUUUUGUGUAUUUCAGUUUUUUUUAGAAGCAUUAAAGAAUAAUGUAAUAUAAAAAGUGUAUAAACACAUUUUUUAUAGAGUUGAUAGACUUAAUAGAGUAGUGAGCUUAUGAAUUUUCACGAAGUGAAUCCACCUGUGUAUCCAGUGCCUGGAUUAAGAAGUAGAGCUACACUUAAAAUUUUAAUAGCAAUUGGUAAAUACAAUACCAAAAAGAUUUUAGUAUUUAUUUUUCCCACAAUGUGAUCAGUUUUUAAAUGUUUUACUAAUCCAAAGAACAAGAUCUCAUUAUUGCUUUAUUUGCAUUUCCUUGAACAUUAGAGAGGUGAUUAUCUUUUUACAUAUUUAUGGCUAUCAGCAUCCAUCUUCAAACGGUCUGUUCAUCUCUUCUGAUCAUUUUCUUGUUGAGUUGUAUAUGGGGGAUAUUAACCCUAUGUCUUAUCGAAUGUGCUGCAAACCUUUUCCUCUAAUAUGUUAAAAAAUAUCUAGGUUUUUCUUUUAUGGUUUCUGUGUUUCCUGUCUUGCCUUAAGAGGGACUUUUCACAUUAAGAUUGUAAAACUUUUUCUAUUUAAAAAAGAUUAUUUUGUGUUUUACUUUUAUCUUUACCUCGGCUAAAAUGUAUACUUGCAUGUGGUGUGAGGUAAGGGUCUGACCUUGUUUCCAGGUGGCUAGCCGUUUGCCCAGGUUCUGUUUAUUAUAUAGGUAGACCUGGUUUUAAAUUUCCAUUCUGCCCCUUAUUAGCUGCAUGAUCUUGGGCAAUUGGAUAGCAAUUGACACAGUCGACCACUUCCUCCUUCUCAAAAUACUUAUUUCCCUUAGCUUUUGUGAUGUAAGACUGCCUUGAUUUUCCUUCUGCUUCUCUGGCUGGUCUUUUUUUUUCUCUCUCUUUUUUUCAGAGUAAUUCUUCCCUCCUGGACCCUCACACCAUAUGUUUUGUGCUGAGUGAUCUUAUCCACAUAAUUGCUUCAGCCACAGUGAAAAUGCAGAGGAUUCCUGUAUUUCAGUGUCUAGUCUGGAGCUCUCAGUUGAGUUCUGGAUCUGUGUAUCCACCUGGCCACUUGACGCCUCCACUUGGAUGUCCCACAGGCACCUCCAAUGCAAAAUGACUCAUGACCUUCUCCUCCACAUCAGCACUCUCACAGGAGUUCCUGUCUAAGGGAAUGGUAUCACCAUCUUCCCAUUACAAAAGCCAUACAUUUGAGCACCAUCCUUGACUAGUUCCUGUUCCUUCCUCUGUUGUACCCAGCACCCAAAAGAAUGCCCAGCACAUGGGCCUUUUGCAUUGUGGAUGAUGGAGCGGCUCAUAUAGUCCAUAAGUUUUGUGCGUAGCUGUGUACCCUGUCCCUGUGAGCUGGUUCUGCCCGGCACCUCGGUGACCUCGAGGAAAGAAGCUGAGAGACAGAGUCUUGCUUUGUCACCCAGGCUGGAGGGCAGUGGCACCAUCAUAGCUCACUGCAGACUCGAACUCCUGGGCUCAAGGGAUCCUCCUGCCUCGGCUUCCCAAAAUGGAUGAGAACUCAAGCAAAAAGUGCCAGCAGCCACAGAGGUUUCCAGCCAGAAAGAGCAACACCCCAAAGAUUCCAUAACAAUACCAGAAGGAAAAAAAAAAUAGAGAAAUGAAUGGAAGAAAUGUUUGAAACAAUAAUGACUGAGAAUUUCCCCAAGUUAAUGUCAGACACCAAACCACAGAUCCAGGAAGCUCAGAGAACACCAAGCAAGAUAAAUGCCAACAAAGCAAGACCUCAUCUCCUGAAAGGUACUCACUUUCUGGGAGACACAGAUCCCCUCCUGGAAGAGGCUCAUGACCACAUGGCAGGAGUUCCUUUCCGAGACUGCCAAGCACCUGUAGCAGUGCAGACCCUGAGCUCUCUUCAUGCACAGCAGGGCCACCAGCAGGACCAGGGCAAAGGUCUUCAUGGCAUAGGAACUGCUCAUUCUUCCUCUCUUGCCAGUCAUUUAGUUUCAAUAAACUAAAAUUUGUUCUUAGUUUUGUAGCUUAAAAAAUCCUACAAAUAAGCCAGUGCAAUU